This 1233-nucleotide ribosomal RNA is filed under the name Nocardiopsis synnemataformans. RNAcentral describes it as "bacterial SSU rRNA". It matches the Rfam family "Bacterial small subunit ribosomal RNA", at positions 100 to 1367 of the family's 1533-position model. The record is from RNAcentral. Lineage: Bacteria; Bacillati; Actinomycetota; Actinomycetes; Streptosporangiales; Nocardiopsidaceae.
ACGGUUAGUUAAACACGUGAGACACCCUGGUCCUGACUUUGGAUAGCCGUGAUGCGUCUAAUCCGAUACGACGGCACUUCAUGUGGAGGUGAAGUCUCGUCAGAUGACUCGCGGCCAUCAGCUGUGUGGGGUACGCUACCAAUGCGAUACGGUAGCUGCUGAGAGGGCGACUGCCACCACUGGGACUGAGACACGGCCCAGACUCUGCGGAGGCAGCAGUGGGGAAUAUGCGCAAUGGGCGAAGCUGACGCAGCGACGCCGCGUGGGGGGAUGACGGCUUUCGGGUUGUAAACCUCUUUUACCACCAACGCAGGCUCGAAGUUUUCUUCGGGUUGACGGUAGGUGGGGAAUAAGGACGGGCUAACUACGUGCCAGCAGCCGCGGUAAUACGUAGGGUCCGAGCGUUGUCUGGAAUUAUUGGGCGUAAAGAGCUCGUAGGCGGCGUGUCGCGUCUGCUGUGAAAGACCGGGGCUUAACUCCGGUUCUGCAGUGGAUACGGGCAUGCUAGAGGUAGGUAGGGGAGACUGGAAUUCCUGGUGUAGCGGUGAAAUGCGCAGAUAUCAGGAGGAACACCGGUGGCGAAGGCGGGUCUCUGGGCCUUACCUGACGCUGAGGAGCGAAAGCAUGGGGAGCGAACAGGAUUAGAUACCCUGGUAGUCCAUGCCGUAAACGUUGGGCGCUAGGUGUGGGGACUUUCCACGGUUUCCGCGCCGUAGCUAACGCAUUAAGCGCCCCGCCUGGGGAGUACGGCCGCAAGGCUAAAACUCAAAGGAAUUGACGGGGGCCCGCACAAGCGGCGGAGCAUGUUGCUUAAUUCGACGCAACGCGAAGAACCUUACCAAGGUUUGACAUCACCCGUGGACUCGCAGAGAUGUGAGGUCAUUUAGUUGGCGGGUGACAGGUGGUGCAUGGCUGUCGUCAGCUCGUGUCGUGAGAUGUUGGGUUAAGUCCCGCAACGAGCGCAACCCUUGUUCCAUGUUGCCAGCACGUAAUGGUGGGGACUCAUGGGAGACUGCCGGGGUCAACUCGGAGGAAGGUGGGGAUGACGUCAAGUCAUCAUGCCCCUUAUGUCUUGGGCUGCAAACAUGCUACAAUGGCCGGUACAAUGGGCGUGCGAUACCGUAAGGUGGAGCGAAUCCCUAAAAGCCGGUCUCAGUUCGGAUUGGGGUCUGCAACUCGACCCCAUGAAGGUGGAGUCGCUAGUAAUCGCGGAUCAGUAACGUAUAGAUCAAA